Molecule: long non-coding RNA, 214 nt
Organism: Arabidopsis thaliana (thale cress)
Lineage: Eukaryota; Viridiplantae; Streptophyta; Magnoliopsida; Brassicales; Brassicaceae
Product: other RNA
Exons: 1
Source: RefSeq
CCACAACCUCUUUGAUCGGAAGGGGUGACAAAAUCUUCACCAGUAAAUCGUCAGGCAAAUCAGUGAUAUUUUUCGUUCCUUCAUGUCUGUUGUUGAGAUUUUCCAUCGCAGAAGAAAGAAGAAAAGCCAAAAAAGUUUUUUUUGUUCCUUUCCUUCUAUGUCAAGGAAAAGGCAAGUAAGCUCCUCUGUUUCGCUCUAAACCCUAAUUUCGACU